Long non-coding RNA from Chrysemys picta bellii (western painted turtle), 2630 nucleotides. RefSeq lists it as uncharacterized. NCBI's taxonomy places the organism in Eukaryota, Metazoa, Chordata, Testudines, Emydidae. The record is from RefSeq and is a predicted model, not a curated record.
CAGUUCUCUCUAGCGCCUCAGUGUAGGUACCUGUAAAAUGGAGAUAGUCGUGCUGGCCUGGCUUGCAAAACUUCUAUAGACAUUUGCAAGAUCAGGUGCAAUAUCUACUUGCUCCACCUUUGCCAUGACUAUGGAUGAUAGCAAAUGUCAUAAUUCUCCUUUUAACGGGGUUAACUCAGCACCACAGACAAACAAAGCGCUGUCCCUAAGCAAAUGAGGCAAAGAGAACUUUGCAAGGUUGGUUAAAUUAAUUGUUUAAAGGACUCGAGAGCUUUUGAUGAAAGAUGCAAUGGGAGUGACAAUUAUUAUUCUUCAGUCCCCUUCCUCUCUUUGUCUCUUCCCUUCACUGGGCUUUGUGCAGAAGUUUGCUGCAUGUCAGUGCCCAAAGAGGAGUAAAAUGGACCAAAAAUCUCCUGGAAGAGGAUGGGGGCGGGGAGGGAAAGGCAACAGCUUCCCUGGUAUUACUGCAUAAGCCACAUCCACCCAGCGGGUGCUGCAAACUCAGUGGGUGCUGGCAAGCUCAAUGUGGUAUGUACCCAUUGAAGCAAUGGAGCAUUAUUUGGCAUCAUAAAUUACAGCUUCUAGAAGGAGCAAUAGCAUUUUGCAGUGUCUUUCCAACACACUGCAGCUGAUCUGCUUGUAUGAGGACUGUGGGACCUUGAUUGCACCAGGCAGCAAAGCUGUAGACCUGAAUUCCUGACCAAACAACCCAUGUGUUAGGGGUUAGACUAGAUGACCCUUGCAGUCUCUUCUAACCCUAUGGUUCUAUGAUUCUCUGUAAGCCGGUUUCUGCCACCUGGAAGCCCAGGGAACCUGCCCAGCUUGCUCUGAAGAGCCAGACCAUCACUCCCUGUUUUCAAGAGGGAAUGAUGCAGUGGAGAACAGCAGUUCAGGAGACACAAUUUUAUCCCCAGGUACCUUUUAAGGCAUGAAAGGGAGGACUGGUCCCAAAGUGAGCCAGAGCUCCCUGGGAACUGAGCUGGGGCAGUCUCUAAGUAGCACUUGUCUUGAGGUACAAAAAAUGGCUCUUACCCUAUUGUUUGCACAAGGGAAAAUAUUAUGCAAAAGAUUAAAAUAAACGUUUUGGGGAAAUAGGGGAAGAUUGAGCAGUUGCUGCUGUGCGUUCUCAGGUCUGCCUCAUGCUUUUGGCUCCACAGCCAGGUCUUGAGAGUGCUCUCAGGACUUGCAAAUGCAAGGAAGUUUCCAAAAUCUAAGCACUUUCAGUGGCACAGGCAUCACAGUGACCUUGACCAAACUACAGCAGGAGAGGGACAGAAAGGUGGGUCCUGGCCCAGCAGGCUUCGAAGAUGGAGACCUGUUAUUUUCUGAUUUAGAAAAAAUAGAAUUGAUGUCAGCUGUGUCUUUGGCAGCGUAAACACCAUGUGACGGUGGGGUUGAGCUGACGGGAAAUCAUGUCAGUUUCCACUUGCAGGCUGGCUUGUGCCGGCUGUGCUCUUCUCUGUCCAGACUUGCACCAUGGCACUACAAGAGUGGCCCCUUCAAUGAGCACAGAGAAUGUCCUCAGUCGCUCCAGGAGCAGCUCUGAUGUAAAAUCACCACUCGGCGUCCGAGGGAGGAAAUGGUUUAACAAACCAACGGGCCGAUAGUUUCUGCUGCUCACUCACGGGAAGUGAAAUGAGGUAAAGCAAAAGUGCGUUGUUCUCCAGCAAGACAACGAUCCUACUGGGGGCCGUGGAGCAAGGAUUUGAUUUCUCCGCACACUGAGCUUUUGCCUGAAGAGAGUGCACAGUAUAGCAGAAAUUCUGAGAUGUCAGCCGGCAGCUGGCGUGGUGAGAGUCGAAGAGAAAAUGAGCAGCUCGCUAUGUGCCCACAGGCAUAAGCAUGAGACAGCGACAUGGGCAAAGUGAUUUUCAGUGUGACAGUGUUGGAGUUUGCUGGCCGCAUACAAUUAAAACAGAAUAAAACCCUCUUCUUGCUGAGCUCCAGAUCACAGAUGGUCCCCCAAUGGGGUGCAGCAGCAGCAUAAGAAACACUCAGGCAAAAUGGGGAAACUGAAGCACAGAGUGAUUACAUGAGUUGCCCAAGGUCGCACAAGAAGUCUGGAGUGACACCAAAUCCUCCAAGCCCCAGUUCAGUGCUUUAUCUCCACUGACACCCUCUUAUUCUAGGUGUUCAGUAACUUGUAGAAUCAAACACAAACUUAACACCAGUAUUCUUAAAUAUCUGAAAAGUUAAAUAUUGAGCAACAAGUUUCAGGAGAAAUGGACCUUAAGAGAAGACUAUAUUCUCCAAGACGUUAUAGAAGAUGGAUGGGUGGAGGGAAUCCAAGUAAUAUUUGGAAAUAUUAAAAUACAGUCUAUAUUGUUUGGUAUUGCUUUAGAUGUCUGAGUUUUUUCAGGCCAGGGAAUGGGAGGGAAGUCGGAAAUGAAAGGGGUGGGGAGUAAGAAAGAGGUACCAUUAAGAGUUCUGGCCAACCUCUAAUUUGCUAUUCAGUUUACCAGCCUGUAGUUUAUUAUGUAUGGUAUGUGAAGGAACCUGUUUAGCCAGAAGGGAAAUGCCUUUUGUGUUAAGAGUGACCGUAAUCUAAUAUGGCCUUUUGACUUGACUCAAUUAAAUCCUUUCUGUUUCGAUUAAAUAAUCAGCCACAAUUUAAUAAAAUGAAUUUCAGU